AUACGGAGGAUGCGAGCGUUAUCCGGAUUUAUUGGGUUUAAAGGGAGCGUAGGUGGGAUAUUACGUCAGCUGUGAAAGUUUGGGGCUCAACCUUAAAAUUGCAGUUGAUACUGGUUUCCUUGAGUCCGGUAUAGGUGGGCGGAAUUCGUGGUGUAGCGGUGACAUGCUUAGAUAUCACGAAGAACUCCGAUCGCGAAGGCAGCUCACCGGGCCGGAACUGACACUGAUGCUCGAAAGUGCGGGUAUCAAACAGGAUUAGAUACCCUGGUAGUCCGCACAGUAAACGAUGAAUACUCGCUGCUUGCGAUACACUGUAAGCGGCCAAGCGAAAGCGUUAAGUAUUCCACCUGGGGAGUACGCCGGCAACGGUGAGACUCAAAUGAAUUGGCGGGG
RNAcentral lists this ribosomal RNA (393 nucleotides) under uncultured bacterium. RNAcentral describes it as "partial 16S ribosomal RNA". It matches the Rfam family "Bacterial small subunit ribosomal RNA", at positions 523 to 918 of the family's 1533-position model. The record is from RNAcentral.